This 73-nucleotide transfer RNA is filed under the name Nitrospirota bacterium. RNAcentral's name for it is "tRNA-Arg". It matches the Rfam family "tRNA". From Rfam's summary of the family: Transfer RNA (tRNA) molecules are approximately 80 nucleotides in length. Their secondary structure includes four short double-helical elements and three loops (D, anti-codon, and T loops). Further hydrogen bonds mediate the characteristic L-shaped molecular structure. tRNAs have two regions of fundamental functional importance: the anti-codon, which is responsible for specific mRNA codon recognition, and the 3' end, to which the tRNAs corresponding amino acid is attached (by aminoacyl-tRNA synthetases). tRNAs cope with the degeneracy of the genetic code in two manners: having more than one tRNA (with a specific anti-codon) for a particular amino acid; and 'wobble' base-pairing, i.e. permitting non-standard base-pairing at the 3rd anti-codon position. The record is from RNAcentral. Lineage: Bacteria; Pseudomonadati; Nitrospirota.
GCGCCUGUAGCUCAGCGGAUAGAGCAAUGGCCUCCGGAGCCAUGUGUCGGGGGUUCAAUUCCCUCCAGGCGCG